This 76-nucleotide transfer RNA is filed under the name Saprospiraceae bacterium. Its description in RNAcentral is "tRNA-Val". It matches the Rfam family "tRNA". Rfam says of the family: Transfer RNA (tRNA) molecules are approximately 80 nucleotides in length. Their secondary structure includes four short double-helical elements and three loops (D, anti-codon, and T loops). Lineage: Bacteria; Pseudomonadati; Bacteroidota; Saprospiria; Saprospirales; Saprospiraceae. The record is from RNAcentral.
AGCAGUGUGACCAGAGAGGUUAUGGAUCUCUUUUACAAGGAGAACAAUGUUGGUUCGAGUCCAAUCGCUGCUACCA